GCAUUGGUGGUUCACUGGUAGAAUUCUCGCCUGCCACGCGGGAGACCCGAGUAAGAUUCCUGGCCAAUGCA
RNAcentral lists this transfer RNA (71 nucleotides) under Danio rerio (zebrafish). It matches the Rfam family "tRNA". From Rfam's summary of the family: Transfer RNA (tRNA) molecules are approximately 80 nucleotides in length. Their secondary structure includes four short double-helical elements and three loops (D, anti-codon, and T loops). The record is from Rfam by way of RNAcentral. Lineage: Eukaryota; Metazoa; Chordata; Actinopteri; Cypriniformes; Danionidae.